Molecule: ribosomal RNA, 583 nt
Filed under: uncultured Enterococcus sp.
Lineage: Bacteria; Bacillati; Bacillota; Bacilli; Lactobacillales; Enterococcaceae
Description: SSU rRNA
Rfam family: Bacterial small subunit ribosomal RNA
Source: RNAcentral
UCGGCCGACACUGGGACUGAGUCACGGCCCAGAAUCCUACGAGUGGGCAACCGUUGCGAAUGUUCGGCAACUGACGAAAGUCUGACCGAGCAACGCCGCGUGAGUGAAGAAGGUUUUCGGAUCGUAAAACUCUGUUGUUAGAGAAGAACAAGGACGUUAGUAACUGAACGUCCCCUGACGGUAUCUAACCAGAAAGCCACGGCUAACUACGUGCCAGCAGCCGCGGUAAUACGUAGGUGGCAAGCGUUGUCCGGAUUUAUUGGGCGUAAAGCGAGCGCAGGCGGUUUCUUAAGUCUGAUGUGAAAGCCCCCGGCUCAACCGGGGAGGGUCAUUGGAAACUGGGAGACUUGAGUGCAGAAGAGGAGAGUGGAAUUCCAUGUGUAGCGGUGAAAUGCGUAGAUAUAUGGAGGAACACCAGUGGCGAAGGCGGCUCUCUGGUCUGUAACUGACGCUGAGGCUCGAAAGCGUGGGGAGCAAACAGGAUUAGAUACCCUGGUAGUCCACGCCGUAAACGAUGAGUGCUAAGUGUUGGAGGGUUUCCGCCCUUCAGUGCUGCAGCAAACGCAUUAAGCACUCCGCCUGG